AUGGAAUAGGCCAAUGAUGCAGCAAGAAAAUUGAAGGUUAGACUACAGGCAGGACUUCCUAGAGAUCAGAUUUAUUCCACUGGCUGCGCACUCCCAUUCCAGGCCCACUGUUUAUCCCCCAUCUUCCCUGCCCUCUCAGCCUCUGCCUUCAUACCUGUCCCUGCACUUUCCUAAGCCUGAGAUGAUGGGAAAUUUCCUACUUUUCCCAGAUCCUCCCACCUCCCUGCCAUCAUAACCCCCAUCUCCCCCACUGUGUCUGGGUAUCAUUCCCUAGGGUCAGAGUUGGGAGAGGAGUGGCACAACCAGAUGCUUAGGGCCUCUCUCUGACCUUUCAGAGGGAGGAGGUUCUUGAUGGGGCCAAAUUAGAGGUGCUGAGACCAGCUCCAGGCAUCGGGGUGCUAGGGAGGACUGUUCUGGGGCUGGAGUGGGGACCAUUGGGCAUGAGCAGCCAGUGCCCACUGGCUGCUGGGAAGACUGUUUGCCAUGCAUCCGAGCUGUGCCAGGGCCUGGGCCCGGCCCCCUUCUGGUGCCCUCCCUCCCUUUUCUCUGGGCUGGAGCUGGAGCGGCUCACAGACCUGGCUCCCAUCUCUCUGACAGGUGGCCCAGAAACCCAUAUAGUUGGAGUCACUUUGGGGCCAACACCCUGGACCACCUUUCACCUCUGUCUGACAGUCGGAGAGUGAGGGAAGAGGGCCUAAGGCCAAUGAGGACCUAACUGCUCUGGAACAUGGAGGGCAACCUACCCUUGACCCCAAAAAUGGGAGUCACUGACCAGUGAGGCCAAGAGGGUAGCCCCAUGCAGUUCUCAGAGAGCUCUGUCUCUUCAGUCUCGGGCCUCAGCCUCCCAGGUACAGCUAGGAGCCCUGAGGAAACUCAGACUUCCCCACAUCUGGUACCAGCCUCGGAACCCAGGGGUCCAGGGUUCUGUGGCCUUCUCUAUCCCACACACCACUCAUCUCCACUUCGUCUUCUCUUCCUCCAGAGCAGCCCACACCUCUCUGUCUCUAACCCUGAGAGCUCAGCAGUCAUGCGGUCCCUUCCCUUGACGCCACAACAUCCCCCUCUCUGUUUCAGCUCCAGCGUCUGUAUCUCUGCCCUUGUUUUGAAUUUCUUGAGGUGUUCAGGAAACUUUCCUCUUGUCACAUCAUUUCUGUCUGACCCUGGAUGUCCAACUCCCUCACAGUCUUCAUAGACCCAACCCAGAGAGUUAAGACCAGGUCUCUCUCUCUCUCUCUCUCUCUCUCUCUCUCUGUGUGUAGGCAUGCACGUGUGUACACACAUCUAACAACACCAUCACCUCCAUGCUGAAUGCCCAUCAGCCGGAAGCCAAGGUCUGUCCCAUAGGAACUGAGCUCCAGCACUCAGCAGGGUCAGCAGGGAGGCACAAGAGGCCAGAGCUUUGGCCAUAGCAGGAGGGAAGCUCUCUGCUACCCCCUUAACGGCUUCAUGAGGAGAAACAUGAGCCUACACUAUAUAAGCAGGGCCUUAGGGCCUGUAGGAGUAAUUGCAAUCAUCAUAUAAAUAGUCCUUUUUAUUGGAAGCACAACUAAUAAUACUAUUAGCAAUGUCACCAGCCGAGCUGUUGCAGAUCCCUCUCGUAUAGAAUCUGAAAUGUGGAUGAUGCUGUUAUAAAUAGCAAAGUUAGCCAUAGCAACAUAGGCACUGGUAAUACUGUGGGUGGGUCUAUGGGUAACACUGUUCCCUGAUCUUACUGCUGUCAUCUGCAAUCUAAGUAAUGCAGAUAAUAAUGGUGCCCCUCGAACUUGAUGCCAAUCUCUUGGUCCUAUUAGAACCAUGCAGGCAGAGCUAUUCUAAUAGGUGGGGGAAUACCUGACAGCAUAUGGAAAUACCUGGGAGAGGGAAUUCCCAGGCCCCUGGCAGUGCUAGGAAGGAAUGCAAUAGUGGUAACGGAAUUCCAGCUAAUAGUUACUGAUGUCUACCUGAGCCAGUUCUCCUAAAUGCUUCCUGUGGAUAACCCCAACUGUGAGAAAAAGAUUGUUUAUGUUUUGCUCAUUACACCGAUGAGGAACCCGAGGUUCAGAGAAGUCAACUAACUACCCCAAGGUCACAGAGCAAGGAGCCGAGUUGGGAUUCCAGCCGAAAUGGGCAUCCCGACCACCCCCUAGAGCGGCUCUGAUCAGCUGUCCUGCCGGACUACAGUAAGGUGUCCCCAGAAGGGUUGCUGGCCGCUGCUCCUGGAGCUGCCUGUGCGUGGGACACGGAGGAAGGGACUGAUCCGGAACGCUACCGCCCUGCCUGGGACAAGGUCGGAAAUCUCGGAGGCCGCGCUGGGACAGGAGCGCGCAGCAGGGAAGACGCGAGGACCCGAGGGGUUGCUGAUCAGACUGCGAGCGGCAGGGGGGCUGCCACUGGCAGAGCUGGAAGCAUGUAGAUCAGAGAUGGCAGCAGCAGCUGCAGGCGCUCGGGGCUGUCCGGCAGCCUACUCCGCUGCGGUGUCAGGAGUCGACGAGUUGGGUACCCCAGAGCCUCGAGGCAAGGGCUGACAGGCGCAGGGAGCAGACCAGGCAGGCACCCCCUUCUCCCUGUCCCCGAUCCCAGGGCGGGCGGCGGGGCUGCGGAGACACUCACCUACCCAGGGCUGGGGUUGGGUCGCGGCACUGCGAAGUUUGUCGCCUCCUCCGGGGGUCUCCUCCGGGUGCACGCUCAGUCCUGCAGCUGCAGCUGAGACUGCGGCGGGGACUGCGCGAGCGCGAGGAGAGGCUGGGGCCGCAGGACUUUCGGAAGAGGGCGCCGGCCCUCCCGGCGCCGCACAAAACCCCCUUUCUUCCCCCCGCCCCUGCCCCGCCCUCCCCGGGGCCGCCCCCGCCCCGGUCGGGAGCGCGGGGGGCUCGGGACGGUCACGGGACCCGCUGUCUUCUCUGCGUCGGCUCCCGGCAGCAGCGGCGAGAGCAAGGACGAGCGAAGUAGGACAUCGUUCAGCGGAUGAGAAGCCGAGGGCUUGGAGUAGGGAGGGGGGGCAGGAGGGGCGGGGAGGGAGCUUUCGCCCAGCGUUCGCUGAGCUAAAGGAUGACGAUGUUACAGCUGGAGGGGUGGAAGUUGGACAACUGGAGGGACUUCUCAUUGUUCAAAGAAGAAGGAGGAGGGAUGCAAUUAGACUGUAAGAAGUGGAUGAAGGGAGAAUGGGGGCUUUGCUCCUGAAAAGAGACACCCUCUCUAAUAAAAAAAAAAAAAGGAAAGCUC
RNAcentral lists this non-coding RNA (3201 nucleotides) under Pongo abelii (Sumatran orangutan). The record is from RNAcentral. Lineage: Eukaryota; Metazoa; Chordata; Mammalia; Primates; Hominidae.